Molecule: ribosomal RNA, 3028 nt
Filed under: Salmonella enterica
Lineage: Bacteria; Pseudomonadati; Pseudomonadota; Gammaproteobacteria; Enterobacterales; Enterobacteriaceae
Description: 23S ribosomal RNA
Rfam family: Bacterial large subunit ribosomal RNA
Source: RNAcentral
GGGUUGUGAGGUUAAGCGACUAAGCGUACACGGUGGAUGCCCUGGCAGUCAGAGGCGAUGAAGGACGUGCUAAUCUGCGAUAAGCGCCGGUAAGGUGAUAUGAACCGUUAUAACCGGCGAUUUCCGAAUGGGGAAACCCAGUGUGACUCGUCACACUAUCAUUAACUGAAUCCAUAGGUUAAUGAGGCGAACCGGGGGAACUGAAACAUCUAAGUACCCCGAGGAAAAGAAAUCAACCGAGAUUCCCCCAGUAGCGGCGAGCGAACGGGGAGGAGCCCAGAGCCUGAAUCAGCAUGUGUGUUAGUGGAAGCGUCUGGAAAGGCGCGCGAUACAGGGUGACAGCCCCGUACACAAAAGCGCACAUGCUGUGAGCUCGAUGAGUAGGGCGGGACACGUGGUAUCCUGUCUGAAUAUGGGGGGACCAUCCUCCAAGGCUAAAUACUCCUGACUGACCGAUAGUGAACCAGUACCGUGAGGGAAAGGCGAAAAGAACCCCGGCGAGGGGAGUGAAAAAGAACCUGAAACCGUGUACGUACAAGCAGUGGGAGCCCCACCACUAAGCCAGUGGUGAACUCCACAUACGCAUCCUUUGCUGAGGAUACGGUUAACGGAGCGAAAGCGACGUUCAACCUCAAAAGAAGCAGAGGGGGCUUAGUGGUGGGGUGACUGCGUACCUUUUGUAUAAUGGGUCAGCGACUUAUAUUCUGUAGCAAGGUUAACCGAAUAGGGGAGCCGGAGGGAAACCGAGUCUUAAUUGGGCGUUAAGUUGCAGGGUAUAGACCCGAAACCCGGUGAUCUAGCCAUGGGCAGGUUGAAGGUUGGGUAACACUAACUGGAGGACCGAACCGACUAAUGUUGAAAAAUUAGCGGAUGACCUGUGGCUGGGGGUGAAAGGCCAAUCAAACCGGGAGAUAGCUGGUUCUCCCCGAAAGCUAUUUAGGUAGCGCCUCGUGAAUUCAUCUCCGGGGGUAGAGCACUGUUUCGGCUAGGGGGCCAUCCCGGCUUACCAACCCGAUGCAAACUGCGAAUACCGGAGAAUGUUAUCACGGGAGACACACGGCGGGUGCUAACGUCCGUCGUGAAGAGGGAAACAACCCAGACCGCCAGCUAAGGUCCCAAAGUCAUGGUUAAGUGGGAAACGAUGUGGGAAGGCCCAGACAGCCAGGAUGUUGGCUUAGAAGCAGCCAUCAUUUAAAGAAAGCGUAAUAGCUCACUGGUCGAGUCGGCCUGCGCGGAAGAUGUAACGGGGCUAAACCAUGCACCGAAGCUGCGGCAGCGACGCUGAUGCGUUGUUGGGUAGGGGAGCGUUCUGUAAGCCUGCGAAGGUGGCCUGUGAGGGUUGCUGGAGGUAUCAGAAGUGCGAAUGCUGACAUAAGUAACGAUAAAGCGGGUGAAAAGCCCGCUCGCCGGAAGACCAAGGGUUCCUGUCCAACGUUAAUCGGGGCAGGGUGAGUCGACCCCUAAGGCGAGGCCGAAAGGCGUAGUCGAUGGGAAACGGGUUAAUAUUCCCGUACUUGGUGUUACUGCGAAGGGGGGACGGAGAAGGCUAUGUUGGCCGGGCGACGGUUGUCCCGGUUUAAGCGUGUAGGUGUGUGUUCCAGGUAAAUCCGGUUCACUUUAACACUGAGGCGUGAUGACGAGGCACUACGGUGCUGAAGCAACAAAUGCCCUGCUUCCAGGAAAAGCCUCUAAGCAUCAGGUAACAUCAAAUCGUACCCCAAACCGACACAGGUGGUCAGGUAGAGAAUACCAAGGCGCUUGAGAGAACUCGGGUGAAGGAACUAGGCAAAAUGGUGCCGUAACUUCGGGAGAAGGCACGCUGACACGUAGGUGAAGUGAUUUACUCAUGGAGCUGAAGUCAGUCGAAGAUACCAGCUGGCUGCAACUGUUUAUUAAAAACACAGCACUGUGCAAACACGAAAGUGGACGUAUACGGUGUGACGCCUGCCCGGUGCCGGAAGGUUAAUUGAUGGGGUCAGCGCAAGCGAAGCUCCUGAUCGAAGCCCCGGUAAACGGCGGCCGUAACUAUAACGGUCCUAAGGUAGCGAAAUUCCUUGUCGGGUAAGUUCCGACCUGCACGAAUGGCGUAAUGAUGGCCAGGCUGUCUCCACCCGAGACUCAGUGAAAUUGAACUCGCUGUGAAGAUGCAGUGUACCCGCGGCAAGACGGAAAGACCCCGUGAACCUUUACUAUAGCUUGACACUGAACAUUGAGCCUUGAUGUGUAGGAUAGGUGGGAGGCUUUGAAGUGUGGACGCCAGUCUGCAUGGAGCCGACCUUGAAAUACCACCCUUUAAUGUUUGAUGUUCUAACGUGGACCCGUGAUCCGGGUUGCGGACAGUGUCUGGUGGGUAGUUUGACUGGGGCGGUCUCCUCCUAAAGAGUAACGGAGGAGCACGAAGGUUGGCUAAUCCUGGUCGGACAUCAGGAGGUUAGUGCAAUGGCAUAAGCCAGCUUGACUGCGAGCGUGACGGCGCGAGCAGGUGCGAAAGCAGGUCAUAGUGAUCCGGUGGUUCUGAAUGGAAGGGCCAUCGCUCAACGGAUAAAAGGUACUCCGGGGAUAACAGGCUGAUACCGCCCAAGAGUUCAUAUCGACGGCGGUGUUUGGCACCUCGAUGUCGGCUCAUCACAUCCUGGGGCUGAAGUAGGUCCCAAGGGUAUGGCUGUUCGCCAUUUAAAGUGGUACGCGAGCUGGGUUUAGAACGUCGUGAGACAGUUCGGUCCCUAUCUGCCGUGGGCGCUGGAGAACUGAGGGGGGCUGCUCCUAGUACGAGAGGACCGGAGUGGACGCAUCACUGGUGUUCGGGUUGUCAUGCCAAUGGCACUGCCCGGUAGCUAAAUGCGGAAGAGAUAAGUGCUGAAAGCAUCUAAGCACGAAACUUGCCCCGAGAUGAGUUCUCCCUGAGACUUUAGGUCUCCUGAAGGAACGUUGAAGACGACGACGUUGAUAGGCCGGGUGUGUAAGCGCAGCGAUGCGUUGAGCUAACCGGUACUAAUGAACCGUGAGGCUUAACCUUACAACGCCGAAG